This is a long non-coding RNA of Triticum dicoccoides, 632 nucleotides long. RefSeq lists it as uncharacterized. The record is from RefSeq and is a predicted model, not a curated record. The transcript is spliced from 4 exons. Lineage: Eukaryota; Viridiplantae; Streptophyta; Magnoliopsida; Poales; Poaceae.
AGCUGGUUCACUGCUCUCCAAUAUCCCCGUCCAUUCAUUCCUUGCUCCUCUCCUCCUUGGUAUAACCUGGCAUCAACAUUUUUCUUUUGGCGCAAGGAAGAUUUGUGUGCCGGCAAAUUCAGAUACUGCAGUGCAGGCUACUACUACUAUACGGUGAUCUAUAUAUAGCUGCUAGCAAAUUGAUUCAUCUGGAGGUGCAGAUCGAUCGAUGGGUUAGAUUUGUGGAGCUUCGUGUCUCUGCCGGGCGUCCAUUGAAAUACUAGUCAUCAUGCCUCGACAGGUGCUGACUAGCUAGCCAAGUAAAAGUAAUUCAUCUGGAGUUGCAGACCGAUUGGUCAGAUUGAUCCCUGGGCUUUCUUGUCUUUAAUAGGCCUUCACUGAAAUAUUAGCCAUCAUGCCUCGGCAGGUGUUGUUUUGCUGGAAGGGUUCAAGAAACGGCGCUUGAUCAAACCAUUCUUGAUAGACUUGUGUUACCAAGGGAUUCUGAUGUGGAUGUCGACGACAGUAGUAGUGAUUCCGAGCUGUUUACGCGGCACAACAAAGAUGAGCCAAAGCCAAAUAGUGUCAUUUUCCCAAAGCAAAGCAUACAUACAUUGCAUUUUGUUCAGAUUAAAUACAUAUAUUGCUGGAUU